RNAcentral lists this non-coding RNA (20 nucleotides) under Arabidopsis thaliana (thale cress). The record is from RNAcentral. Lineage: Eukaryota; Viridiplantae; Streptophyta; Magnoliopsida; Brassicales; Brassicaceae.
GGGCCAUGACCUCCGCCUAG